RNAcentral lists this long non-coding RNA (778 nucleotides) under Cricetulus griseus (Chinese hamster). Its description in RNAcentral is "lncRNA (ENSCGRG00015041769.1)". The record is from RNAcentral. Lineage: Eukaryota; Metazoa; Chordata; Mammalia; Rodentia; Cricetidae.
CCUGUGCAGGAACAGUUGCACAACAUGGUUGUGGAUGAAGUGCGACACAAAAAUCGCUACCCUCAGGGCAUUUCUUCUGUACCCCUCAUAUUGAAAAUCCUUUCUUUUCCUGUACAAUAUAUCCUGAUUACAGUUUCCUCUAUCUUUACUACCCCAUGUUCCUGCCCUACUCCCAUGUCAUCUAGUCCUACCCCAUUUGUGAUUCUGAUGGAAAAGAAAAGGCUUCGGGCAGUUGGAACAACACAUCACUUAUUUAAUUGAACUAAGAAACAAAAACUGUGACAUACAGGGUGGAACAGGGAGCUAACAGAAUGAAUGGAGAGAAGUCAGAAAGGCAAAAGAAUCAGAGACCCCCUGGUAUACACAGUCUGGGUUUCCAUGAAGAUGCUAAGCUGAAAGCUGUGCUGUUUAUACAGAGGACCUGGGGCAGAGUCAUGCAGGAUCUGCGUAUUCUGCUUCAGUCUCUAUGACUGCAUAUGAGCUUUGUUCAAUUAAUUUAGAGUCUGUGUUCUCCAGGGGGCACCAUCCCCUAUGGCACUUACAAGUUUUCUACCUGUGCCUUUCAGAGUUCUAUGAUCACUCAGAGAAGUUAUUUGAUGGAAACAUCAUAGAGACAUCCAUUUGAUAUCUUUUUGUUCCAAUGUCUUUCUGUCUGUCUGUCUCUCUUGUGGUCUGUCAGUCUCUGUCGAGGCACAUCUAGGUAGUUUUGAAUGUAUGGGUUUUGUGAGUCCAACAAGAAUGCACAUUUUGCAAGUGUCAUUUUGGUAGCUGAAGGGAC